This 489-nucleotide ribosomal RNA is filed under the name uncultured bacterium. RNAcentral's name for it is "partial 16S ribosomal RNA". It matches the Rfam family "Bacterial small subunit ribosomal RNA", at positions 30 to 506 of the family's 1533-position model. The record is from RNAcentral.
AUUGAACGCUGGCGGCAUGCCUUACACAUGCAAGUCGAACGGCAGCAUGAUCUAGCUUGCUAGAUUGAUGGCGAGUGGCGAACGGGUGAGUAAUACAUCGGAACGUGCCCUGUAGUGGGGGAUAACUAGUCGAAAGAUUAGCUAAUACCGCAUACGACCUGAGGGUGAAAGUGGGGGACCGCAAGGCCUCAUGCUAUAGGAGCGGCCGAUGUCUGAUUAGCUAGUUGGUGGGGUAAAGGCCCACCAAGGCGACGAUCAGUAGCUGGUCUGAGAGGACGAUCAGCCACACUGGGACUGAGACACGGCCCAGACUCCUACGGGAGGCAGCAGUGGGGAAUUUUGGACAAUGGGGGCAACCCUGAUCCAGCAAUGCCGCGUGGGUGAAGAAGGCCUUCGGGUUGUAAAGCACUUUUGUCCGGAAAGAAAUCGCACUUACUAAUAUUAGGUGUGGAUGACGGUACCGGAAGAAUAAGGACCGGCUAACUACGU